Molecule: ribosomal RNA, 497 nt
Filed under: uncultured bacterium
Lineage: Bacteria
Description: partial 16S ribosomal RNA
Rfam family: Bacterial small subunit ribosomal RNA
Source: RNAcentral
GAUGAACGCUGGCGGCGUGCCUAAUACAUGCAAGUCGAGCGAACGGACGAGAAGCUUGCUUUUCUGAUGUUAGCGGCGGACGGGUGAGUAACACGUGGAUAACCUACCUAUAAGACUGGGAUAACUUCGGGAAACCGGAGCUAAUACCGGAUAAUAUUUUGAACCGCAUGGUUCAAAAGUGAAAGACGGUCUUGCUGUCACUUAUAGAUGGAUCCGCGCUGCAUUAGCUAGUUGGUAAGGUAACGGCUUACCAAGGCAACGAUGCAUAGCCGACCUGAGAGGGUGAUCGGCCACACGGGAACUGAGACACGGUCCAGACUCCUACGGGAGGAAGCAGUAGGGAAUCUUCCGCAAUGGGCGAAAGCCUGACGGAGCAACGCCGCGUGAGUGAUGAAGGUCUUCGGAUCGUAAAACUCUGUUAUUAGGGAAGAACAUAUGUGUAAGUAACUGUGCACAUCUUGACGGUACCUAAUCAGAAAGCCACGGCUAACUACGUG